UGGGGCGUAGCCAAGCGGCAAGGCAGGGGACUUUGGAUCCUCCAUCGCUGGUUCGAAUCCAGCCGCCCCAA
RNAcentral lists this transfer RNA (71 nucleotides) under Armatimonadota bacterium. RNAcentral describes it as "Armatimonadetes bacterium (activated sludge metagenome) tRNA-Gln". It matches the Rfam family "tRNA". From Rfam's summary of the family: Transfer RNA (tRNA) molecules are approximately 80 nucleotides in length. Their secondary structure includes four short double-helical elements and three loops (D, anti-codon, and T loops). Lineage: Bacteria; Bacillati; Armatimonadota. The record is from RNAcentral.